RNAcentral lists this ribosomal RNA (430 nucleotides) under Pseudomonadota bacterium. RNAcentral describes it as "Proteobacteria bacterium partial 16S ribosomal RNA". It matches the Rfam family "Bacterial small subunit ribosomal RNA", at positions 355 to 776 of the family's 1533-position model. The record is from RNAcentral. Lineage: Bacteria; Pseudomonadati; Pseudomonadota.
UGGGGAAUAUUGGACAAUGGGGGGAACCCUGAUCCAGCCAUGCCGCGUGUGUGAAGAAGGCCUUAUGGUUGUAAAGCACUUUAAGCGAGGAGGAGGGUACUGGUAUUAAUACUACCAGGUACUGGACGUUACUCGCAGAAUAAGCACCGGCUAACUCUGUGCCAGCAGCCGCGGUAAUACAGAGGGUGCGAGCGUUAAUCGGAUUUACUGGGCGUAAAGCGUGCGUAGGCGGCUAAUUGAGUCGGAUGUGAAAUCCCCGAGCUUAACUUGGGAAUUGCAUUCGAUACUGGUUGGCUAGAGUGUGGGAGAGGAUGGUAGAAUUCCAGGUGUAGCGGUGAAAUGCGUAGAGAUCUGGAGGAAUACCGAUGGCGAAGGCAGUCAUCUGGCCUAACACUGACGCUGAGGUACGAAAGCAUGGGGAGCAAACAGG